UCCGGUUUGUCACCGGCAGUCUCCCUAGAGUUCCCACCAUCACGUGCUGGCAACUAGGGACAAGGGUUGCGCUCGUUACGGGACUUAACCCAACAUCUCACGACACGAGCUGACGACAGCCAUGCAGCACCUGUCACUCAGUUCCCGAAGGCACCAAUCCAUCUCUGGAAAGUUCUGAGGAUGUCAAGCCCUGGUAAGGUUCUUCGCGUUGCUUCGAGUUAAACCACAUGCUCCACCGCUUGUGCGGGCCCCCGUCAAUUCAUUUGAGUUUUAACCUUGCGGCCGUACUCCCCAGGCGGUCUACUUAUUGCGUUAACUGCGUCACAAAUCCCUCAAGGAGACCUACGACUAGUAGACAUCGUUUACGGCGUGGACUAC
Molecule: unclassified non-coding RNA, 378 nt
Filed under: uncultured Cellvibrionales bacterium
Lineage: Bacteria; Pseudomonadati; Pseudomonadota; Gammaproteobacteria; Cellvibrionales
Description: contains 16S-23S intergenic spacer region
Source: RNAcentral